RNAcentral lists this ribosomal RNA (253 nucleotides) under uncultured bacterium. RNAcentral describes it as "partial 16S ribosomal RNA". It matches the Rfam family "Bacterial small subunit ribosomal RNA", at positions 524 to 776 of the family's 1533-position model. The record is from RNAcentral.
UACGGGGGGGGCAAGCGUUGUUCGGAAUUACUGGGCGUAAAGGGCUCGUAGGUGGCCAACUAAGUCAGACGUGAAAUCCCUCGGCUUAACCGGGGAACUGCGUCUGAUACUGGAUGGCUUGAAUCCGGGAGAGGGAUGCGGAAUUCCAGGUGUAGCGGUGAAAUGCGUAGAUAUCUGGAGGAACACCGAUGGCGAAGGCAGCCCCCUGGGCCAAUACUGACGCUCAGGCACGAAAGCGUGGGGAGCAAACAGG